Molecule: ribosomal RNA, 479 nt
Filed under: uncultured bacterium
Lineage: Bacteria
Description: bacterial SSU rRNA
Rfam family: Bacterial small subunit ribosomal RNA
Source: RNAcentral
AGGACGAACGCUGGCGGCGUGCUUAACACAUGCAAGUCGAACGGACGAUUUCCUCGGGAGAAAAGUUAGUGGCGGACGGGUGAGUAACGCGUGAGUAACCUGCCUUGGAGUGGGGAAUAACACGAGGGAAACUUGUGCUAAUACCGCAUGACAUCGCGGAAGGGCAUCCUUCUGCGAUCAAAGAUUUAUUGCUCCAAGAUGGGCUCGCGUCCGAUUAGAUAGUUGGCGGGGUAAUGGCCCACCAAGUCGACGAUCGGUAGCCGGACUGAGAGGUUGGCCGGCCACAUUGGGACUGAGAUACGGCCCAGACUCCUACGGGAGGCAGCAGUGAGGAAUAUUAGGCAAGUACGGGGGAAACCCUGACCUAGCGACGCCGCGUGAAGGAUGUAAGGUUUUCGGAUUAGUAAACUUCUUUUAUGAGGGACGAUAGUGACGGUACCUCAUGAAUAAGCCACGGCUAACUACGUGCCAGCCGCCGC